GACUAUAGCAUCAGGGUUCCACCUCUUCCCAUUCCGAACAGAGAAGUUAAGCCUGAUCACGCCGAUGGUACUGCGUAACAGUGGGAGAGUAGGUAGUCGCCGUUU
RNAcentral lists this ribosomal RNA (105 nucleotides) under Bacteroides fragilis. Lineage: Bacteria; Pseudomonadati; Bacteroidota; Bacteroidia; Bacteroidales; Bacteroidaceae. The record is from RNAcentral. RNAcentral also lists the same sequence under 1 other name.